This 787-nucleotide ribosomal RNA is filed under the name uncultured bacterium. RNAcentral describes it as "bacterial SSU rRNA". It matches the Rfam family "Bacterial small subunit ribosomal RNA", at positions 1 to 785 of the family's 1533-position model. The record is from RNAcentral.
UUAUCGCGCGAUCGCCUUGAGUUUGAUCAUGGCUCAGAACGAACGUUGGCGGCGUGGAUUAGGCAUGCAAGUCGAACGAGAACCGGGGAGCAAUCCCCGGGGAAAGUGGCGAAAGGGGCAGUAAUGCGUGGAUAACCUACCUCCGGGACGGGUAUAGCCAUUCUAACGAGUGGGUAAUCCCCGGCGAUUCGGUUGAGGGGCAUCUCUUGACCGGGAAAUGUGUAACGCCUGGAGAGGGGUUCACGUGCUAUUAGCUAGUUGGUGAGGUAACGGCUCACCAAGGCAAAGAUGGCUAGCGGGUGUGAGAGCACGACCCGCGCCACUGGCACUGAGACACUGGCCAGACUCCUACGGGAGGCUGCAGUCGAGGAUCUUCGGCAAUGGGCGCAAGCCUGACCGAGCGACGCCGCGUGCGCGAUGAAGGCCUUCGGGUUGUAAAGCGCUGUCGAGGGGGAGGAAAACCCGCAAGGGUCUGACCUAUCCCUGGAGGAAGGACGGGCUAAGUUCGUGCCAGCAGCCGCGGUAAGACGAACCGUUCUAACGUUGUUCGGAAUCACUGGGCUUAAAGGGCGCGUAGGCGGGUUCCCAAGUCGGUGGUGAAAUCUUUCGGCCCAACCGGAAAACAGCCGCCGAUACUGGGAGUCUUGAGGGAGGUAGGGGUCGAUGGAACUUCCGGUGGAGCGGUGAAAUGCGUAGAUAUCGGAAGGAACGCCGGUGGCGAAAGCGAUCGACUGGACCUUUUCUGACGCUGAGGCGCGAAAGCAGGGGAGCAAACGGGAUUAGAUCC